RNAcentral lists this ribosomal RNA (548 nucleotides) under uncultured bacterium. Its description in RNAcentral is "partial 16S ribosomal RNA". It matches the Rfam family "Bacterial small subunit ribosomal RNA", at positions 355 to 895 of the family's 1533-position model. The record is from RNAcentral.
UGGGGAAUUUUGGACAAUGGGCGAAAGCCUGAUCCAGCAAUGCCGCGUGUGUGAAGAAGGCCUUCGGGUUGUAAAGCACUUUUGUCCGGAAAGAAAUCCUUGGCUCUAAUACAGUCGGGGGAUGACGGUACCGGAAGAAUAAGCACCGGCUAACUACGUGCCAGCAGCCGCGGUAAUACGUAGGGUGCAAGCGUUAAUCGGAAUUACUGGGCGUAAGCGUGCGCAGGCGGUUUGCUAAGACCGAUGUGAAAUCCCGGGCUCAACCUGGGAACUGCAUUGGUGACUGGCAGGCUAGAGUAUGGCAGAGGGGGGUAGAAUUCCACGUGUAGCAGUGAAAGUGCGUAGAGAUGUGGAGGAAUACCGAUGGCGAAGGCAGCCCCCUGGGCCAAUACUGACGCUCAUGCACGAAAGCGUGGGGGAGCAAACAGGAUUAGAUACCCGUGGUAGUCCACGCCCUAAACGAUGUCAACUAGUUGUUGGGGAUUCAUUUCCUUAGUAACGUAGCUAACGCGUGAAGUUGACCGCCUGGGGAGUACGGUCGCAAGAUU